RNAcentral lists this ribosomal RNA (498 nucleotides) under uncultured bacterium. Its description in RNAcentral is "partial 16S ribosomal RNA". It matches the Rfam family "Bacterial small subunit ribosomal RNA", at positions 30 to 523 of the family's 1533-position model. The record is from RNAcentral.
AUUGAACGCUGGCGGCAUGCCUUACACAUGCAAGUCGAACGGUAACAGGUCUUCGGAUGCUGACGAGUGGCGAACGGGUGAGUAAUGUAUCGGAACGUGCCCAGUCGUGGGGGAUAACUGCUCGAAAGAGCAGCUAAUACCGCAUACGACCUGAGGGUGAAAGCGGGGGAUCGCAAGACCUCGCGCGAUUGGAGCGGCCGAUAUCAGAUUAGGUAGUUGGUGGGGUAAAGGCCUACCAAGCCUACGAUCUGUAGCUGGUCUGAGAGGACGACCAGCCACACUGGGACUGGGACACGGCCCAGACUCCUACGGGAGGCAGCAGUGGGGAAUUUUGGACAAUGGACGCAAGUCUGAUCCAGCCAUGCCGCGUGCGGGAAGAAGGCCUUCGGUUUGUAAACCGCUUUUGUCAGGGAAGAAAAGGUUCUGGUUAAUACCUGGGACUCAUGACGGUACCUGAAGAAUAAGCACCGGCUAACUACGUGCCAGCAGCCGCCGUAA